Molecule: transfer RNA, 71 nt
Filed under: Marmota monax (woodchuck)
Lineage: Eukaryota; Metazoa; Chordata; Mammalia; Rodentia; Sciuridae
Description: tRNA.Ala
Rfam family: tRNA (bases 8-64)
About the family: Transfer RNA (tRNA) molecules are approximately 80 nucleotides in length. Their secondary structure includes four short double-helical elements and three loops (D, anti-codon, and T loops). Further hydrogen bonds mediate the characteristic L-shaped molecular structure. tRNAs have two regions of fundamental functional importance: the anti-codon, which is responsible for specific mRNA codon recognition, and the 3' end, to which the tRNAs corresponding amino acid is attached (by aminoacyl-tRNA synthetases). tRNAs cope with the degeneracy of the genetic code in two manners: having more than one tRNA (with a specific anti-codon) for a particular amino acid; and 'wobble' base-pairing, i.e. permitting non-standard base-pairing at the 3rd anti-codon position.
Source: RNAcentral
GGGGUAGAGCUCAGUUGGUAGAGUGCUUGCCUUGCAUGCAUAAGGCCCUGGGUUCAAUCCCCAGCACCACA